UACGAAGGGGGCUAGCGUUGUUCGGAAUCACUGGGCGUAAAGCGGGUGUAGGCGGAUUUUUAAGUCAGAAGUGAAAGCCUGGGGCUCAACCUCAGAAUUGCUUUUGAUACUGAAAAUCUAGAGUUUGGGAGAGGAAAGCGGAAUUCCUAGUGUAGAGGUGAAAUUCGUAGAUAUUAGGAGGAACACCAGUUGCGAAGGCGGCUUUCUGGAACAAAACUGACGCUCAGACCCGAAAGCGUGGGGAGCAAACAGG
RNAcentral lists this ribosomal RNA (253 nucleotides) under uncultured bacterium. RNAcentral's name for it is "partial 16S ribosomal RNA". It matches the Rfam family "Bacterial small subunit ribosomal RNA", at positions 524 to 776 of the family's 1533-position model. The record is from RNAcentral.